UUCUAGUAGCUUAACAUAAAGC
This 22-nucleotide transfer RNA is filed under the name Testudo hermanni hermanni. RNAcentral's name for it is "transfer RNA-Thr". The record is from RNAcentral. Lineage: Eukaryota; Metazoa; Chordata; Testudines; Testudinidae.